Molecule: ribosomal RNA, 492 nt
Filed under: uncultured bacterium
Lineage: Bacteria
Description: partial 16S ribosomal RNA
Rfam family: Bacterial small subunit ribosomal RNA
Source: RNAcentral
AGUGAACGCUGGCGGUAGGCCUAACACAUGCAAGUCGAACGGCAGCACAGUAAGAGCUUGCUCUUACGGGUGGCGAGUGGCGGACGGGUGAGGAAUACAUCGGAAUCUACUUUUUCGUGGGGGAUAACGUAGGGAAACUUACGCUAAUACCGCAUACGACCUACGGGUGAAAGCAGGGGAUCUUCGGCCCUUGCGCGAUUGAAUGAGCCGAUGUCGGAUUAGCUAGUUGGCGGGGUAAAGGCCCACCAAGGCGACGAUCCGUAGCUGGUCUGAGAGGAUGAUCGGCCACACUGGAACUGAGACACGGUCCAGACUCCUACGGGAGGCAGCAGUGGGGAAUAUUGGACAAUGGGCGCAAGCCUGAUCCAGCCAGACCGCGUGGGUGAAGAAGGCCUUCGGGUUGUAAAGCCCUUUUGUUGGGAAAGAAAAGCAGCAGGUUAAUACCCCGCUGUUCUGACGGUACCCAAAGAAUAAGCACCGGCUAACUUCGUG